This 1020-nucleotide long non-coding RNA is filed under the name Callithrix jacchus (white-tufted-ear marmoset). Its description in RNAcentral is "lncRNA (ENSCJAG00000074221.1)". Lineage: Eukaryota; Metazoa; Chordata; Mammalia; Primates; Cebidae. The record is from RNAcentral.
UUUAUUAUUUUAAAUGGUAAUACCAUCCGUGCAUACUAGUUAAUCUGUGUUUAGAAAAAAACAGUACAUAUUUCUGGGGGUGUUUUGUUCUGAUAAUUUUUCUAUUCCUUCAUUUACAAAUGCACACAUAAUUGUUAUAAAGUCUACUUUAAACCGUACAUAUAUUUAAAAGUCAAAAAAAAAAAAAAAUCUGCUUUGCUCUUCAACCCUCUUUUCUCUAGGCUAUCAAGAUGUUUAUAUGAUAUACUGGCAGCCCUGUGUCUCAGCUGAAAUUCAUUUACUAUCAAUUGAGCGUUAAAGGGACCAGCAAAGAUUCUUUUCUUUUGCUGAAGCUUUCAUACCAUUCCAGGAAGAAUGGGCAGUUUUGACUGGGCAGGAAAAACUGACAAUGACCAAGGGAGAACCACUGUAUUCAAUUUACAGAAUGGGUGCAGUUUGUAACUUGUAGGACAAAGUCAAUUUGAUAUUGUCUCAUCUGAUCCCUGUCCCUGCAUCUAAUUAAGGUGGUGUCAGUUUGAGGAGAUAAUUGUCAAAGGCUGCAAAUGCAGUAAAGGCUGCCUAACUUUAAUCACAUCCGGCAUGGGAAAUUGUGGCUUUUUGGAAAUGACAGUGUAAAGAGUAAUGACUUUUUGAAAAAAAUUAACUUUAAAUAGAAAGUUUCCUAAAUUUUAAAAUUUAUUCAACAUAAAAAUGUUCAUUCUGAUUCUUUUUCAGGAAUAUAAGGGAAUAAAAUUCUUUUCUAGGUAACAUUUAGCCUCAUUGUGGAGAGAAACAUAACUUUUGUUAAAAUAAUGUUUUAAAAUAAAAUGUGUUGAAAAUUACUAUUACCUUUAAAAGAUAUUAAAGUGGGACAAUUACAUAGCUAAAUUUUCUCCUGGUGUGAGAUAUGUGAUACAUAAUGAUCUUUUAUUAUCAAUGCUAAUUCCAAAAUACAUGAGCACUUACAGUAGUUUUUAUGUGAUUUAAGGAGUGAUAGUUACCUUUGUACAUACUUAAUAGAUAUGAAGUUAAAAUAUUAUA